Long non-coding RNA from Octopus sinensis (East Asian common octopus), 95 nucleotides. RefSeq lists it as uncharacterized. The transcript is spliced from 3 exons. NCBI's taxonomy places the organism in Eukaryota, Metazoa, Mollusca, Cephalopoda, Octopoda, Octopodidae. The record is from RefSeq and is a predicted model, not a curated record.
UGUCACAAGGUUACUCAUUUUACAGCUGAGCAGACUGAAGCAACAUGAAAUGAAGUGUUUUGCUCAAGAACACAAUACAAUAAAUGAAACCACAA